UUAGCUUUGUGAGAGAGGUUCUAGAGAGAGAGAGAGAGGGAGAGAAAUGAGAGGAGGGGUGUAAUUAGCUGUGGGAGAGAGAGAGAAGGUGUGUUAAGGUGUCACGCCCCGGGGUCCCUUUUAGUUUAAAACAUAGCGGAAAAGCGUCUGAAUUUUUUUUUUUUUUUUUGAAAAGCCUGACCCCAGAGUAUGCCAGAUCCGCCACAAACACAGGGAAUCCACUGUUCACAUGGACAGAGUCUCCCCUAUAUUUGCACGGCGUCACACAAGUACAAGAAGUAACCCAGGUACAACCACAACCAAAUGAACAUACAAAUAACUAACGAUUAUAUAUUCAUGCACCAUUCACAUCACAGGUUCACAUUUAUAUAUUCAAUAUUUAAACAUAAAUUCACAUCUAUCAGUUAAAAUAUUUCCAACCACAGAAACAGGUUUUGAAAUACUAAGAUGCAAAAUCCACAUAAAACCUUUUUGAAAACUAUUUCCUACACGGAAAUCUUUAUUCUUUAAAAACGCUACCACGAGGGGUAGAAAACCUUUUAUUUUACAAAAUCCAGAAAUCUGUUUAUUAUAUUCACGAAAAUUCAUAUAUUCAAAUGUAAUAAAAAUACUGAACCAUAUAAGUCAACUAAGCUCUAUAUCAACAUAAAUAAUAAGGGUAAAAGCUAAACCGAAUAACCUGGGUCGGAAGAUCUAACGACCGCUACGUACAUGCCUCACGUCUCGUCUCAAUACCCAUCGCCUGCGAUACCUGAAGAAU
RNAcentral lists this long non-coding RNA (760 nucleotides) under Ananas comosus (pineapple). Its description in RNAcentral is "long non-coding RNA (ACOM_LNC019738)". Lineage: Eukaryota; Viridiplantae; Streptophyta; Magnoliopsida; Poales; Bromeliaceae. The record is from RNAcentral.